UACGGAGGGUGCUAGCGUUGUUCGGAUUUACUGGGCGUAAAGCGCACGUAGGCGGCGCAGCAAGUCAGGGGUGAAAUCCUGGAGCUCAACUCCAGAACUGCCUUUGAUACUGGGAAGCUUGAGUCCGGGAGAGGUGAGUGGAACUGCGAGUGUAGAGGUGAAAUUCGUAGAUAUUCGCAAGAACACCAGUGGCGAAGGCGGCUCACUGGCCCGGUACUGACGCUGAGGCACGAAAGCGUGGGGAGCAAACAGG
This 253-nucleotide ribosomal RNA is filed under the name uncultured bacterium. RNAcentral's name for it is "partial 16S ribosomal RNA". It matches the Rfam family "Bacterial small subunit ribosomal RNA", at positions 524 to 776 of the family's 1533-position model. The record is from RNAcentral.